AUUGAACGCUGGCGGCAUGCCUUACACAUGCAAGUCGAACGGUAACGCGGGGCAACCUGGCGACGAGUGGCGAACGGGUGAGUAAUACAUCGGAACGUGCCCAGUAGUGGGGGAUAGCCCGGCGAAAGCCGGAUUAAUACCGCAUACGACCUACGGGUGAAAGCGGGGGAUCGCAAGACCUCGCGCUAUUGGAGCGGCCGAUGUCAGAUUAGCUAGUUGGUGGGGUAAAAGCCUACCAAGGCGACGAUCUGUAGCUGGUCUGAGAGGACGACCAGCCACACUGGGACUGAGACACGGCCCAGACUCCUACGGGAGGCAGCAGUGGGGAAUUUUGGACAAUGGGGGCAACCCUGAUCCAGCCAUGCCGCGUGCGGAAGAAGGCUCGGUGUAACG
This 393-nucleotide ribosomal RNA is filed under the name uncultured bacterium. RNAcentral describes it as "bacterial SSU rRNA". It matches the Rfam family "Bacterial small subunit ribosomal RNA", at positions 29 to 425 of the family's 1533-position model. The record is from RNAcentral.